RNAcentral lists this ribosomal RNA (1100 nucleotides) under Companilactobacillus musae. RNAcentral's name for it is "bacterial SSU rRNA". It matches the Rfam family "Bacterial small subunit ribosomal RNA", at positions 52 to 1117 of the family's 1533-position model. The record is from RNAcentral. Lineage: Bacteria; Bacillati; Bacillota; Bacilli; Lactobacillales; Lactobacillaceae.
UACAUGCAAGUCGAACGAACUCGCGUGAUGAUUGAAGCUUGCUUCAUGAAUCACAUUUGAGUGAGUGGCGGACGGGUGAGUAACACGUGGGUAACCUGCCCAAAAGUGGGGGAUAACAUCUGGAAACAGGUGCUAAUACCGCAUAACAACUACUUUCACAUGAUCGUAGCUUGAAAGAUGGCUCUGCUAUCGCUUUUGGAUGGACCCGCGGCGUAUUAGCUAGUUGGUGAGGUAACGGCUCACCAAGGCAAUGAUACGUAGCCGACCUGAGAGGGUAAUCGGCCACAUUGGGACUGAGACACGGCCCAAACUCCUACGGGAGGCAGCAGUAGGGAAUCUUCCACAAUGGGCGAAAGCCUGAUGGAGCAAUGCCGCGUGAGUGAAGAAGGUUUUCGGAUCGUAAAACUCUGUUGUUGAAGAAGAACAUGCGUGAGAGUAACUGUUCACGUACUGACGGUAUUCAACCAGAAAGCCACGGCUAACUACGUGCCAGCAGCCGCGGUAAUACGUAGGUGGCAAGCGUUGUCCGGAUUUAUUGGGCGUAAAGAGAAUGUAGGCGGUUUAUUAAGUUUGAAGUGAAAGCCCUCGGCUCAACCGAGGAAGUGCUUCGAAAACUGGUAAACUUGAGUGCAGAAGAGGAAAGUGGAACUCCAUGUGUAGCGGUGGAAUGCGUAGAUAUAUGGAAGAACACCAGUGGCGAAGGCGGCUUUCUGGUCUGUAACUGACGCUGAGAUUCGAAAGCAUGGGUAGCAAACAGGAUUAGAUACCCUGGUAGUCCAUGCCGUAAACGAUGAGUGCUAAGUGUUGGAGGGUUUCCGCCCUUCAGUGCUGCAGCUAACGCAUUAAGCACUCCGCCUGGGGAGUACGACCGCAAGGUUGAAACUCAAAGGAAUUGACGGGGGCCCGCACAAGCGGUGGAGCAUGUGGUUUAAUUCGAAGCAACGCGAAGAACCUUACCAGGUCUUGACAUACCAUGAAAAGCUAAGAGAUUAGUCUUUCCCUUCGGGGACAUGGAUACAGGUGGUGCAUGGUUGUCGUCAGCUCGUGUCGUGAGAUGUUGGGUUUAGUCCCGCCACGAGCGCAACCCUUAUUAUCNUUKG